This 616-nucleotide ribosomal RNA is filed under the name Pleurotus ostreatus (oyster mushroom). RNAcentral describes it as "eukaryotic LSU rRNA". The stretch from base 252 to 405 matches the Rfam family "5.8S ribosomal RNA". Lineage: Eukaryota; Fungi; Basidiomycota; Agaricomycetes; Agaricales; Pleurotaceae. The record is from RNAcentral.
CCUGCGGAAGGAUCAUUAAUGAAUUCACUAUGGAGUUGUUGCUGGCCUCUAGGGGCAUGUGCACGCUUCACUAGUCUUUCAACCACCUGUGAACUUUUGAUAGAUCUGUGAAGUCGUCUUUCAAGUCGUCAGACUUGGUUUGCUGGGAUUUAAACGUCUCGGUGUGACAACGCAGUCUAUUUACUUAACACACCCCAAAUGUAUGUCUACGAAUGUCAUUUAAUGGGCCUUGUGCCUAUAAACCAUAAUACAACUUUCAACAACGGAUCUCUUGGCUCUCGCAUCGAUGAAGAACGCAGCGAAAUGCGAUAAGUAAUGUGAAUUGCAGAAUUCAGUGAAUCAUCGAAUCUUUGAACGCACCUUGCGCCCCUUGGUAUUCCGAGGGGCAUGCCUGUUUGAGUGUCAUUAAAUUCUCAAACUCACUUUGGUUUUUUCCAAUUGUGAUGUUUGGAUUGUUGGGGGCUGCUGGCCUUGACAGGUCGGCUCCUCUUAAAUGCAUUAGCAGGACUUCUCAUUGCCUCUGCGCAUGAUGUGAUAGUUAUCACUCAUCAAUAGCACGCAUGAAUAGAGUCUAGCUCUCUAAUCGUCCGCAAGGACAAUUUGACAAUUUGACCUC